AAUAGAUACCCAGGUAGUCCACGCCCUAAACGAUGUCAACUAGCUGUUGGGGCCUUCGGGCCUUGGUAGCGCAGCUAACGCGUGAAGUUGACCGCCUGGGGAGUACGGUCGCAAGAUUAAAACUCAAAGGAAUUGACGGGGACCCGCACAAGCGGUGGAUGAUGUGGAUUAAUUCGAUGCAACGCGAAAAACCUCACCUACCCUUGACAUGUCUGGAAUCCUGAAGAGAUUUAGGAGUGCUCGCAAGAGAACCGGAACACAGGUGCUGCAUGGCUGUCGUCAGCUCGUGUCGUGAGAUGUUGGGCUAAGUCCCGCAACGAGCGCAACCCUUGUCAUUAGUUGCUACGAAAGGGCACUCUAAUGAGACUGCCGGUGACAAACCGGAGGAAGGUGGGGAUGACGUCAAGUCCUCAUGGCCCUUAUGGGUAGGGCUUCACACGUCAUACAAUGGUCGGGACAGAGGGUCGCCAACCCGCGAGGGGGAGCCAAUCCCAGAAACCCGAUCGUAGUCCGGAUCGCAGUCUGC
RNAcentral lists this ribosomal RNA (526 nucleotides) under uncultured bacterium. RNAcentral's name for it is "bacterial SSU rRNA". It matches the Rfam family "Bacterial small subunit ribosomal RNA", at positions 777 to 1308 of the family's 1533-position model. The record is from RNAcentral.